UGUCCGCCGGACUCGGAAUGGCCCCAGACUUUGCGGGCGGCCUCCGUGUGCCAAAAAUAGGCCACGGGCACAGCCGCGCCCAAAAAUCAGCCCCCGAAGGUCGGGGCGCCAAGACCCCCCAGCGGAAAAAUGGCCAAAAAACGGGUGGGCUAUAGUCUUCGUGGGGGGCGUGGGCGAAGUUCGUCCGCCGGACUCGGAAUCGCCCCAGACUUUGCGGGCGGACUCCGUGUGAUAAAAAUAGGCCACGGGCACAGCCGCGCCCAAAAAUCAGCCCCCGAAGGUCGGCGGGCCAAGACCCCCCAGCGGAAAAAUGGCCAAAAAUCGGGUGGGCUAUAUCCUUGCAGGGGGGCGUGGGCGAAGUUCGUCCGCCGGACUCCGAAUGGCCCCAGACUUUGCGGGCGGCCUCCGUGUGCCCAAAAUAGGCCACGGGAACAGCCGCGCCCAAAAAUCAGCCCCCGAAGGUCGGGAGGCCAAGACCCCCCAGAGGAAAAAUGGCCAAAAAACGGGUGGGCUAUAGCCUUGGUGGGGGGCGUGGGCGAAGUUCGUCCGGCGGACUCGGAAUGGCCCCAGACUUUGCAGGCGGCCUCCGUGUGCCAAAAAUAGGCCACGGCAACAGCCGCGCCCAAAAAUCAGCCCCCGAAGGUCGGCGGGCCAAGACCCCACAGCAGAAAAAUGGCCAAAAAUCGGGUGGGCUAUAACCUUCGUGGGGGGCGUGGGCGAAGUUCGUCCGCCGGACUCGGAAUGGCCCCAGACUUUGCGGGCGGCCUCCGUGUGCCAAAAAUAGGCCACGGGCACAGCCGCGCCCAAAAAUCAGCCCCCAAAGGUCGGGGCGCCGAGACCCCCCAGCGGAAAAAUGGCCAAAAAACGGGUGGGCUAUAGUCUUCGUGGGGGGCGUGGGCGAAGUUCGUCCGCCGGACUCAGAAUUGCCCC
This 930-nucleotide long non-coding RNA is filed under the name Citrus x clementina. RNAcentral describes it as "Citrus clementina (C. clementina) long non-coding RNA (CCLE_LNC006327)". The record is from RNAcentral. Lineage: Eukaryota; Viridiplantae; Streptophyta; Magnoliopsida; Sapindales; Rutaceae.